ACGUAGGGUGCGAGCGUUAAUCGGAAUUACUGGGCGUAAAGCGUGCGCAGGCGGUUUUGUAAGACAGUGGUGAAAUCCCCGGGCUCAACCUGGGAAAUGCCAUUGUGACUGCAAGGCUGGAGUGCGGCAGAGGGGAGUGGAAUUCCUAGUGUAGGGGGGAAAUGAGUAGAUAAUAGGAGUAAAACCAGUGGCGCAGGCGGAUAACUGGAAAGUAAAUGACCCUGAGGCGCGAAAGCGUGGGGAGAAAACAG
Molecule: ribosomal RNA, 251 nt
Filed under: uncultured prokaryote
Description: partial 16S rRNA
Rfam family: Bacterial small subunit ribosomal RNA
Source: RNAcentral